CUUUCAGAAUCAAGUCAGAAUGAAGAUAGCAGCCUUUAAUGGCAAGAACCUGGGACAGAAGAAAGUCCAUGACAAGUCUGUCAUCAAACACCUCACCAAGAUCAUAUCUCGGUACAGUGUGAUUGUCCUGCUGGAGGUGGUGGAUAAGAGCGGCAAAGCCAUGGAAACGUUACUUCAAGAACUCAACAAAACUGA
Long non-coding RNA from Oreochromis aureus, 195 nucleotides. RefSeq lists it as uncharacterized. Lineage: Eukaryota; Metazoa; Chordata; Actinopteri; Cichliformes; Cichlidae. The record is from RefSeq and is a predicted model, not a curated record. The transcript has 2 exons.